GAUGAACGCUGGCGGCGUGCUUAACACAUGCAAGUCGAACGGUGAACACGGAGCUUGCUCUGUGGGAUCAGUGGCGAACGGGUGAGUAACACGUGAGCAACCUGCCCCUGACUCUGGGAUAAGCGCUGGAAACGGCGUCUAAUACUGGAUAUGUGACGUGACCGCAUGGUCUGCGUUUGGAAAGAUUUUUCGGUUGGGGAUGGGCUCGCGGCCUAUCAGCUUGUUGGUGGGGUAAUGGCUCACCAAGGCGUCGACGGGUAGCCGGCCUGAGAGGGUGACCGGCCACACUGGGACUGAGACACGGCCCAGACUCCUACGGGAGGCAGCAGUGGGGAAUAUUGCACAAUGGGCGCAAGCCUGAUGCAGCAACGCCGCGUGAGGGAUGACGGCCUUCGGGUUGUAAACCUCUUUUAGCAGGGAAGAGGCGAAAGUGACGGUACCUGCAGAAAAAGCGCCGGCUAACUACGUG
Molecule: ribosomal RNA, 469 nt
Filed under: uncultured bacterium
Lineage: Bacteria
Description: partial 16S ribosomal RNA
Rfam family: Bacterial small subunit ribosomal RNA
Source: RNAcentral